UACAGAGGGGGCAAGCGUUGUUCGGAAUUACUGGGCGUAAAGGGCGCGUAGGCGGCCUGCUAAGUCGAACGUGAAAUCCCCGGGCUCAACCCGGGAACUGCGUCCGAUACUGGUUGGCUUGAAUCCGGGAGAGGGAUGCGGAAUUCCAGGUGUAGCGGUGAAAUGCGUAGAUAUCUGGAGGAACACCGAUGGCGAAGGCAGAUCUCUGGGCCGUAACUGACGCUGAGGAGCGAAAGCAUGGGGAGCGAACAGGA
RNAcentral lists this ribosomal RNA (254 nucleotides) under uncultured bacterium. RNAcentral describes it as "partial 16S ribosomal RNA". It matches the Rfam family "Bacterial small subunit ribosomal RNA", at positions 524 to 777 of the family's 1533-position model. The record is from RNAcentral.